UUCCACUCAAUGUUGUGUAAAACUCUUUCUCUAUUGCAAUCCCUAUACCUUGAUAAAUAAUCUGUAUCCCGGCAGCAGGCAAGAAGAAUCCACUGGGCCACUACAUCUGGAUCUAAAGGCCAUGCAUUUUCCACUACAAGCUAAUUAACAAGAGGUAUCCUUUCCCCUCAGAAACAACUAGACAAACCCGUGUAGAUUCUACAUAUAAGAACAGUUAAAGAAAAUCUGGUUAAUACUUAGCCAAGUAUACUUAUCAGGAAAUCAUCAACAGUCUUUCUCUGACAUUCCUGAAAUAGUAAUCCCCACCUUACACUUGUAUCACUUGUUUUCUAAAUAUUAAUAUACAGUAAAAUUCAGGUGACUGUGUGCUAUGGGAAAAUCUGGAGGAAAAGAUAACUUGAAAAAUAUACUUUUUUGGCUCUGCUUGCUACCGAAAAAAAAUUUUUUUAAGAAAAUAUACUCUUCCCUCCCUAACAUUAAAGUGAAUCCACAGAAGAUGCGUUUGGUGAAGUGGUGGUGAAUACUAAGUAGAAAGGGCAAACUAACACAGCCUUAGAGCCUGGAUAAAAUCCUGGUGUCUUGAAAGUUCGACUGUGGGAAAUCUGGAGAGUAAGGGCUAUCUCUGAUCUGUCUAUGUAACUUCUGCACCUUGCACAUAGUAGAGGCCUGACAGAUACACGACAACCCAUGUGUGCAUGCAAUAAUCCAAUCCACAAUUAGGAACAUUGUGCCAAAAGGAGACCCACCAACUAAAAAGAGAUAAAAAUUCUUAGCUUUCUGUGACUACCCUUUGACUACUGCCUUUGCUGACGAAAACAGAGAAGAAAAGAGGAGGCUUCAGUAUUCAAACACUGCCAGUUCCGUAGUGAACUCUAAAAAUGGUUACUCUUGGGAUACAAAGAACCCCCACAAGGAUAAACAGCUUUUGAGGUUACCCGAAUGCCCCAGCAAAGGGCACUUCCGGAGCCGCACCGGAACCCCUUGGCGGAGUAUGUGGCUUCCUGCGGGAACGAUUUAAGAAUAGGACUACUUCCUGCUUCUGGACAUGGGCGGGUGAAGGGAAAGGAAAUAGCUUUAAGAGCGGCAUCCUGCCUGAGCUAGCAGCGGUGGAGGAGGAGGCAGAGAGGAGUGGAGGGCGGAGUAGACGGAGGAGGCUGCGGCAGAGAAGAAAGUGUCAGAGCCGGGAAGGAAGAAAGUACUGUGCGCCCCCAUUUAACCCUCGGGACCUGGCGAAAUCCUGCUACGUGGGUAGUGAACAUUGUUUCGGGAACUGAAGGAAAUGCAUGUAAAGAGUGUUAGUCUGGAGCCAUA
This 1311-nucleotide long non-coding RNA is filed under the name Macaca mulatta (Rhesus monkey). RNAcentral describes it as "lncRNA (ENSMMUG00000061472.1)". Lineage: Eukaryota; Metazoa; Chordata; Mammalia; Primates; Cercopithecidae. The record is from RNAcentral.